RNAcentral lists this ribosomal RNA (861 nucleotides) under Triticum aestivum (bread wheat). Its description in RNAcentral is "partial small subunit ribosomal RNA". The record is from RNAcentral. Lineage: Eukaryota; Viridiplantae; Streptophyta; Magnoliopsida; Poales; Poaceae.
AUGCUGACUACCUUUGAUGCGCUUGUCGAUGUCCUACAUAACAUAAGGGAAUUGCCUUUCAGCAGAAUCGAGUUCAUUCCUGAUGAGGUCGCUGAUAUACCGGAUUUGCCCUGCAGCAGAUACGAGUCCAUACAUAAUGUGGUUGCUCAUAUUUUUUGUAAGAUGGUGGUUGAUUUGAAAGGAAUACUUGAGGGGACUACCAAUGGCAGGCACAUCAGCAGAGAAUGUGCUAUACAUCCAGCAACUGCUCUUCUUGUACGAUACCUGGAAUUUUUCUUUCGCAACGGAGAGAUGAUGCAGUCAGUUCUUGGCACCAGGGAUUGCACUAUUGAGCUUAUCAUGAUUGGUUCUUGGGUCUCCAAGCUCAGUGAAGAUGCAGAGGUAAUGUUCCCAGGGAAGGGACAAAGGUGCAUAUACAUGUUGAAUAACAUGGAUUAUGUUUAUCAACUGAAGCAUCAUCCUGGAGGAUUCCUUUCAAAUAUAGAACUGCAGAGGGGUCUCUGUUCGCUGAUCCAUCAAUACAUUAAGGGCUAUCUCGAGGAAUACUGGUUUCCACUUAUGCUGUCAUAUCUGGAUGGUGAUUCUCUGAAGAAGCCACGCCGUUCAUCCUUGUAUAAAUUCACAACAGAGUUCUUUAGAAUCUGUGAUGGCCAGAUGACAUGGAAAGUUCGUACUAAGCUUAAACAGAGACUGCGUGAAGAGAUAGUGGAAUUGAUUGUUCCAAAAUAUGUGAGCUUCUUAGAGGCGCUGCAGGACAAUCCAAGUUCUUGGUUGAAGAGGAUGUGCCGAGCCAGAUCUGAGAAACUGGUGCGCACUGCUGCGCGACUGGAAGAGGUGAUCAGAGAACUCUUUGAAAGCUAG